AAACAACGACAACAAAAAAUAAAAAUAGUCAUAAAAGAUAUAUAAAAGCGACCACUGAUUGAUAUAAAUUACAUGAAAUAUGGCCAAUCUUAAUGCAUAAAAUACGUUUUAACAUUAUUCUAACACGCUUCACACUUUUCCCUUAUCAAACAAACACAAGCGCUUAAUGACAUGAUAUCUAUACACAGCUUAGAAACGACUGCUUAAUAUAACACCCAGAAAAAUCUUUUGCGCACAUUGCAGUCUGACAUAUUUUUGUUUAUCAAUUUUGUAUUUUAUUAGCAUGUAGGAAUGGAAAUAGAUACCAGUAAUUCAAUUUGACUUUGUAAAUGGUCAUGUGGAAACUGGUGUAUGAUUUAAUGAAUGUAAUCGGACAUUUCCUUAGAAUUCUUAACAUUUAUCACCCAAAUUUUGCCAUCAUGCUAAGUACAAGCAAACAUCCCCCGAAAUGAACUACAACAAAAUUAAUAAUGACAAUGCAUGAAAUAAUCAUUUUACAUCUAAACAAACAAACAAACAAACAAUUAAACAAACAAAUAAACAAACA
Ruditapes philippinarum (Manila clam) is the source of this 547-nucleotide long non-coding RNA. RefSeq lists it as uncharacterized. The record is from RefSeq and is a predicted model, not a curated record. The transcript has 2 exons. Lineage: Eukaryota; Metazoa; Mollusca; Bivalvia; Venerida; Veneridae.